GUGCUCACUUUGGCAGCACAUAUACUAAAAUUGGAAUGAUACAGAGAAGAUUAGCAUGGCUUCUGUGCAAGGAUGACAUGAAAAUUUGUGAAACAUAGGAGAAAGGA
Molecule: small nuclear RNA, 107 nt
Filed under: Vulpes vulpes (red fox)
Lineage: Eukaryota; Metazoa; Chordata; Mammalia; Carnivora; Canidae
Source: RNAcentral